Molecule: long non-coding RNA, 1791 nt
Organism: Brassica napus (rape)
Lineage: Eukaryota; Viridiplantae; Streptophyta; Magnoliopsida; Brassicales; Brassicaceae
Exons: 3
Source: RefSeq, a predicted model, not a curated record
UUAAUAAUUAGGAUUUAGGAGGCCUUAAACUUUGGUUUUAAACUUUAGAGCAAAUAUUUAAACCAUUAAAUAGUUAUAAGUUGACUGUUUCCAUGUUUAUACUUCCAUAUUUCUUGUCAGGUGACCAAUUUAUAACCAAAUUGUUUCUACAAUUUGUACCACUUAAAUUUCACUUUUCAAUAAUAUUUAAUUGUUUUAAGGGAAAAAAAAAGAAUUAUGAGUUGGUUGUCCGAUCGAUUAUAUGUUUUAAAAGAAUCAGCAAUCUCGUAAGUUUUCAUCUCAUAAUUUUAGGAAAUUAUAGCUGUGCUAGAUUUUGGUUUUUUUUCCAGCAUUUGUCAUUAAUCCCUAAAGUAUUUUCUAUGAUCUUUUUGUUGAUUGAUAGAUCGUCGUUUUACGAUUGCACCAAUGAUUCAAUUUGAAAUUAUAAAUUUGACCAAAGGAAUCAUCAACCCUUUCCUUAUCGAGUUAUCGCCUCGAUUUGAGAUUGAAAAUUUUGUCCUUUUGUUGGUUUUGUAAUGAUGCAGUGAUGUUUGCGAGGGCACCACGUAUCAAGUGAAUUUGACAUCUGCCCUCUCUUUUCUUCGCAUGCUGCUCACGUAGCACCUCCUCUUACGUAUGCUUAACUGCACAUUGAUUCGUAUGUUAAUUUCUGUAGCUAAACAAAACGAAAAUAAGAAAUAAGAAAUCUUUUGGCGCAUACUGAAUUGGCUCUUUUUUUUUUGUCAACUUAAGGUUGGCUUUAACUAGAAAUCUUUUGGCGCAUACUGCACAUUGAUUCGUAUGUUAAUUUCUGUAGCUAAACUUGGUGUUUAAAAAAAAACUAGAACCUUUUCAUUAAUUUACGGUAUUUUCAUACAUUAAAAAAAUAUAUAUAUAAACGGAAGCGAGAGUGAGCAGAAAUUUUUCAAAUCUAAUUUUUUAGAAAACUCUUGAAAAUUUCAUAAAAUUUUGUAUAAGACAUCAUUAUAUCCUAAUCAACAAGAAUUUCCGCUACUUAGUUCACUUUUAAAGUAGAAAAUGACUAGUUUAUAAAAAAAAAAGUAGAAAAAGGCUUAAAUACUCUUAAUAAGUAGGUCUUGAGUAGAACUAGAAGUAGAAGAAUAAUUAAUACACAAACUCGUGUUAACCUCAUUACCUUGCCCAAAUCAAGUGAUCAUGUUCAGGAUUACACUAUAUCAAUACACAACUGGCAACACGUCGACCUACUCUUAUAUGUAAUUUCUUUUGAUCUUUUCUUUUUAAAAUAACCUUGUCAAUAUUGAUUGCAUAAGUUACACACGAAGCUCCAUUCUAUGCGAAAGUAGAGAAGUUGUAUGGUGGUCUUGCUAACCAAUUGGUUAAUCAAGGCCAUAUACUGGACAAUUUUGCAUCUGCGCUUGAUCAGGUGUUCAACAAUAGUCCAAACGUUUCCCCAUGCCAUGUAUGCGAUCAACUUGGAUCUCAGAUAUUUACAAUGGAUACAUGCAAGGAUUUUGUUAGCGAAGCUGAAUCCUCAACAAAUUACAACAAAACCAGCGAGAUGAACACAUGCUCUUAUAUAAUCUUCACGUACGACGAUGCUAUUUUGAACUUUUUCUACCAACAUCUCCAGAAACUGACCGUAUAAUCUAAGAGGAAACCCACUACAAAAGUCUCGCCGUCCCUUCAUUUUAGAUUUGAUUAGUAUGUUUAACAUCUUCACAUUGUUUAGCUUCAUAAAGCUACACUAAGUGAGAAAUACAGACAGAUUACGAACUAAUGAUAAAAGAAAGAAUGGGUUUUAUUUACCAUUACAUUUCUUGGUGAAGUUUC